GCCAGGCGUGGUGGCGCAUGCCUGUAAUCCCAGCUACUCAGGAGGCUGAGGCAGGAGAAUCACUUGAACCUGGGAGGUGGAGGCUGCAGUGAGCCAGGACCAUACCACUGCACUCCAGCCUGGGUGACAGAGCGAGAUUCUGUCUCAA
This is an unclassified non-coding RNA of Papio anubis (olive baboon), 148 nucleotides long. It matches the Rfam family "Metazoan signal recognition particle RNA". Rfam says of the family: The signal recognition particle (SRP) is a universally conserved ribonucleoprotein. The record is from Ensembl. Lineage: Eukaryota; Metazoa; Chordata; Mammalia; Primates; Cercopithecidae.